AUUGAACGCUGGCGGCAGGCCUAACACAUGCAAGUCGAGCGGAUGAAGGGAGCUUGCUCCUGGAUUCAGCGGCGGACGGGUGAGUAAUGCCUAGGAAUCUGCCUGGUAGUGGGGGAUAACGUCCGGAAACGGGCGCUAAUACCGCAUACGUCCUGAGGGAGAAAGUGGGGGAUCUUCGGACCUCACGCUAUCAGAUGAGCCUAGGUCGGAUUAGCUAGUUGGUGGGGUAAAGGCCUACCAAGGCGACGAUCCGUAACUGGUCUGAGAGGAUGAUCAGUCACACUGGAACUGAGACACGGUCCAGACUCCUACGGGAGGCAGCAGUGGGGAAUAUUGGACAAUGGGUGAAAGCCUGAUCCAGCCAUGCCGCGUGUGUGAAGAAGGUCUUCGGAUUGUAAAGCACUUUAAGUUGGGAGGAAGGGCAGUAAGUUAAUACCUUGCUGUUUUGACGUUACCAACAGAAUAAGCACAGGCUAACUUCGUG
This 484-nucleotide ribosomal RNA is filed under the name uncultured bacterium. Its description in RNAcentral is "partial 16S ribosomal RNA". It matches the Rfam family "Bacterial small subunit ribosomal RNA", at positions 30 to 507 of the family's 1533-position model. The record is from RNAcentral.